AUGGAGGAUGUUGAAGAAGCGGUUAGAGUGAGUGGUGAAGAAAGUGAUAACUCGGAAGCAUUGUGUUUGUUGGGAAGAUGUUACGAAUGGAAAGAGAUGAGAUGGAAGGAGUGGGACGAAGGAGAGAUGGGUGGUUCGGUAGGAGGGAGACGCGCCAACAUAAAGGAGUGGGACGGAGGCGAGAUGUUCAUGAGAGAGAUGAAGACAGGAAACAGGUUUGUCUUGGAAGCGAAAACAAAAAGAAGUGAUAUGAGUUUGUAA
Molecule: non-coding RNA, 261 nt
Organism: Vicia faba (fava bean)
Lineage: Eukaryota; Viridiplantae; Streptophyta; Magnoliopsida; Fabales; Fabaceae
Source: the annotation of a GenBank genome assembly